Molecule: ribosomal RNA, 433 nt
Filed under: uncultured bacterium
Lineage: Bacteria
Description: partial 16S ribosomal RNA
Rfam family: Bacterial small subunit ribosomal RNA
Source: RNAcentral
GCGCACGCUGGCGGCAGGCCUAACACAUGCCAGUCGAACGAACCUUUCGGGGUUAGUGGCGGACGGGUGAGUCACACGUGGGAACGUGCCUUUAGGUUCGGAAUAACUCAGGGAAACUUGUGCUAAUACCGAAUGUGCCCUUCGGGGGAAAGAUUAAUCGCCUUUAGAGCGGCCCGCGUCUGAUUAGCUAGUUGGUUGAGGUAAUGGCUCACCAAGGCGACGAUCAGUAGCUGGUCUGAGAGGAUGAUCAGCCACAUUGGGACUGAGACACGGCCCAAACUCCUACGGGAGGCAGCAGUGGGGAAUCUUGCGCAAUGGGCGAAAGCCUGACGCAGCCAUGCCGCGUGAAUGAUGAAGGUCUUAGGAUUGUAAAAUUCUUUCACCGGGGACGAUAAUGACGGUACCCGGAGAAGAAGCCCCGGCUAACUUCGUG